GUCAGAUCCUGUACCCCAGCCUGAAGAAGUUGAGUUGAAAUGUUUUAGGUGCUGCUUUCCAAAUGCAAGUGUAGGAUUAUUUUAUGAACGAUACCAUUAUUUCUUAAGUCUCCGCUGUGUGGCUCUAAAAUACGAUGAAUCAUUUGAAUUUGUUGGUCUACACAGAGAGUAUUCCACCCAUCAGCUAAACAACCCUCAAACUACACAAGUAAAGCCAAUCUGUUUUUCUGAUGUUUGAGGCAGAAAAAUGUUGCUGGGAUUGACACUCACCAAGGAGCUGUACCGUACCUGUCACCAAGUAAGAUGCUGCUGUUGAUAUUGUUGUUGUUGUUGUCUUGGUGAUUGUCAUUCCAACCUUCCUGGGAAUCAUCUGUUCUAGAGCCAUCCAAGAUGCAGAGAUAGCUGACACUCACAUGUCAUCGGCAGCCCCAGUGCAUUAGAUACCCUAUAGAGAAAUGGUGCAGUGAUCUGUGUUGCUGAUCACCUGUCGUCUUUGUAUUGACUCUACUGACGUGAAUAAGACUUGAAAUGUGAAUGUGAAUCAACUCUGAAUUAAAUCCCAAUCAAAUCUGGAUCUGGAUCCAGGGAAGUUUUAUGAGUCAUUGUUUCAGUGGAUUGUGUGGAAUUUCCUUUCCAUUGGAGACUGACAUGUAAUCUUUCACUAUUUACUGUGAGGAUACAAAUUGUGUUUGCAGUGCUGCUGUACAUGGAUUAUUGGGUCUGUUGCUGCAUACUGUACUGAGGCAUGGUCGUCAGCUUUCACACCUUUCACCCCUCACUCUUUGCCCCCUUACGCAACACACACACACACACACACACACACACACACACACACACACACACACACACACACACACACACACACACACACACACACACACACACACACACACACACACACACACACACACACACAGGCAGAACGACACAGAGCUCAAGCCUUUCCCCAGCCUUUGAUUGUGGAAUUUCCUGCCCAAGGACAUCCGCCAUUCAAAUGUCUUUUCACAAUUCACUUCCCAACUCGAAAUUUCAAAUGCCAGGGCUUUCAAUUAACAUUGAGCUCAUGUGAAGCACCUACAGCCCCUUGUCUGUGAAAAGCAGUACAGAAUGGGUUUUGUAUGGCGUUCAAGCACAUAAUAAACCGAUGGGAGGAUUUGCAAGAUUAUGA
Molecule: long non-coding RNA, 1168 nt
Filed under: Salmo salar (Atlantic salmon)
Lineage: Eukaryota; Metazoa; Chordata; Actinopteri; Salmoniformes; Salmonidae
Description: lncRNA (ENSSSAG00000093838.1)
Source: RNAcentral